UCCUAUGGUUUACAGUACGGUCCAGCUGAAGUGCCCAAGUCCAAUUAAAAUUAGAGUGUCCAGAGAUGGUACAAAACUGGUUGUGAGGGAAAUGUGUGAACAGCACAACCAUCAUGUGUCUCAGUCUUCAUACCAUCACCUUCAGCAGAAGAGGUGUGUUCACACAGAAAUUAAACAAGAGGUUGCCAAGAUGUUGCAACUGAAGGCCAAUAAAGAGCUUGUACUGGAACACGUCCUGCAGUCAACAGGGAAAAUCAGAACACUCAAAAACUUGCACAAUGGUACAGCAGCUAAGAAGCCUCCACAUUCUGAUAACAAUCUUGUUACUCUUUUGGAGGAGAUGAAAAAGGAGCCAGGAAGGACAACAGAGGUAGUUGGUAGUGACGAAAGUGAACUGCAGGCCAUCUUUUAUGAGGAUGCAAGGGAGUGUGAACCCUCGCCUGCAAAGAAGCUAAAAAUUGAGUCAAGACAAAAUCAGGACAGGCAAAGACCGAAAACAAGAAUAAACAUCGGUGUGGCAUUUCCCAGGUGGAGAUCACUGAUGAAGCUCAAAGGUUUUCAGAAUGAUGACGAAGUUACCUGUUUCCUGCUUGACUGUUAUGAGAAAGCUCCUGUAGCAUCAACUUCCAGAAGAGGGAAACUACAAGCUCCAGCAGUAUCUUGCAUUGCUGAUACAAACAGAAAUGACAAGUCAGAUGACGGAUGAGACGGAUAACAGCUCUGAUGAAGAGCAUUGUCCACCAGUUUGUAUAGGAACAAGUGGAGAGUUAGAGAAAUCACCAUUUAUUUAUCGGCCAGUGUCCGAGUGUGCUGCAGAAAUCCUUCAGGUGACAGUGACUAAUGAAGAGGUUCUCCUGGAGCAGCAGGAGUGGAACUCCAGCCUGGGAAAAGUUCCAGAGCCCCCCUGCAUUCAACAGAAACAGGAGGGAGAGCAGCUUCAAGUCAGAAUGCUGAAUGCGUUGAUGAAGCACUGGCUCACUGUGGAAGCUGCCUGUAACCCCAAAGUUCAUUUAGGUAUUACAGAAGAACAGGAGGAGCAGUGGAUCAGUCAGGAGGGAGAGCAGCUUCAAGGGCAGCAUGAGGCUGGUAUCAUUGAGUUCCCAUUCACUACUGUCCAUGUAAAGUCUGAACAUCAUGAAGAUGAACCUCUCAGUCCUCAGUGUCAUCAAAAACAAACUGAUGAGGGCAGAAUAGACUGUGGAUCAAACCCAGCUGGAAGUUUACAUUCAGGCACACAUUUACAAACAGACACUGAUGACAGAAGUAAACACAGUAAUGAAGAUCACACAAAGAGCACUGAACCUGCACCAGAACAGAUGGACACAGAAGAGGACAGUGAAGGAUCACAACCAGACAGGAAUCUUGUCAGAGUUUACUGAAGCCUUUUUUGUUGACAGCUAACAUAAACUGAAAUGUCACUUGGGCCUUUUACGGAAAUUUUGUUG
This is an RNA transcript of Sphaeramia orbicularis (orbiculate cardinalfish), 1445 nucleotides long. RefSeq lists it as uncharacterized. NCBI's taxonomy places the organism in Eukaryota, Metazoa, Chordata, Actinopteri, Kurtiformes, Apogonidae. The transcript has 6 exons. The record is from RefSeq and is a predicted model, not a curated record.